GUCAGGAUGGCCGAGCGAUCUAAGGCUCCAGACUCAAGGUUUAGAUCUUUUCCCUGGUUAAAGGAGGAUUCUGGUCUCUAAAUGGAAGCGUGAGUUCAAAUCCCACUUCUGACA
RNAcentral lists this transfer RNA (114 nucleotides) under Ameiurus melas (black bullhead). It matches the Rfam family "tRNA". From Rfam's summary of the family: Transfer RNA (tRNA) molecules are approximately 80 nucleotides in length. Their secondary structure includes four short double-helical elements and three loops (D, anti-codon, and T loops). The record is from Rfam by way of RNAcentral. Lineage: Eukaryota; Metazoa; Chordata; Actinopteri; Siluriformes; Ictaluridae.